RNAcentral lists this ribosomal RNA (550 nucleotides) under uncultured bacterium. Its description in RNAcentral is "bacterial SSU rRNA". It matches the Rfam family "Bacterial small subunit ribosomal RNA", at positions 355 to 896 of the family's 1533-position model. The record is from RNAcentral.
UAGGGAAUCUUCCGCAAUGGGCGAAAGCCUGACGGAGCAACGCCGCGUGAAUGAUGAAGGUCUUCGGAUCGUAAAACUCUGUUAUUAGGGAAGAACAAAUGUGUAAGUAACUAUGCACGUCUUGACGGUACCUAAUCAGAAAGCCACGGCUAACUACGUGCCAGCAGCCGCGGUAAUACGUAGGUGGCAAGCGUUAUCCGGAAUUAUUGGGCGUAAAGCGCGCGUAGGCGGUUUUUUAAGUCUGAUGUGAAAGCCCACGGCUCAACCGUGGAGGGUCAUUGGAAACUGGAAAACUUGAGUGCAGAAGAGGAAAGUGGAAUUCCAUGUGUAGCGGUGAAAUGCGCAGAGAUAUGGAGGAACACCAGUGGCGAAGGCGACUUUCUGGUCUGUAACUGACGCUGAUGUGCGAAAGCGUGGGGAUCAAACAGGAUUAGAUACCCUGGUAGUCCACGCCGUAAACGAUGAGUGCUAAGUGUUAGGGGGUUUCCGCCCCUUAGUGCUGCAGCUAACGCAUUAAGCACUCCGCCUGGGGAGUACGACCGCAAGGUUG